CCCCUCUCAGGGUCGCACCUGGAGUUUCUAGUACUCUACCAGUCUCAGCUACAGGAAGAAGAGUCUAGCAGAGGCCUACCCAUUCCAUUCCUAGCUUGGGCAGUAGCUAGCGAGUGGAAGGCAAUCUGCUACAAGU
This is a small nucleolar RNA of Ornithorhynchus anatinus (platypus), 136 nucleotides long. The record is from RefSeq and is a predicted model, not a curated record. Lineage: Eukaryota; Metazoa; Chordata; Mammalia; Monotremata; Ornithorhynchidae.